This 574-nucleotide ribosomal RNA is filed under the name uncultured marine bacterium. RNAcentral's name for it is "bacterial SSU rRNA". It matches the Rfam family "Bacterial small subunit ribosomal RNA", at positions 349 to 916 of the family's 1533-position model. The record is from RNAcentral.
CAGCAGUGGGGAAUUUUGGACAAUGGGCGAAAGCCUGAUCCAGCAAUGCCGCGUGUGUGAAGAAGGCCUUCGGGUUGUAAAGCACUUUUGUCCGGAAAGAAAUCCUUGGCUCUAAUACAGUCGGGGGAUGACGGUACCGGAAGAAUAAGCACCGGCUAACUACGUGCCAGCAGCCGCGGUAAUACGUAGGGUGCGAGCGUUAAUCGGAAUUACUGGGCGUAAAGCGUGCGCAGGCGGUUUGCUAAGACCGAUGUGAAAUCCCCGGGCUCAACCUGGGAACUGCAUUGGUGACUGGCAGGCUAGAGUAUGGCAGAGGGGGGUAGAAUUCCACGUGUAGCAGUGAAAUGCGUAGAGAUGUGGAGGAAUACCGAUGGCGAAGGCAGCCCCCUGGGCCAAUACUGACGCUCAUGCACGAAAGCGUGGGGAGCAAACAGGAUUAGAUACCCUGGUAGUCCACGCCCUAAACGAUGUCAACUAGUUGUUGGGGAUUCAUUUCCUUAGUAACGUAGCUAACGCGUGAAGUUGACCGCCUGGGGAGUACGGUCGCAAGAUUAAAACUCAAAUGAAUUGACGG